CCUGGCGGCGAUAGCGCGGUGGUCCCACCUGACCCCAUGCCGAACUCAGAAGUGAAACGCCGUAGCGCCGAUGGUAGUGUGGGGUCUCCCCAUGCGAGAGUAGGGAAC
Molecule: ribosomal RNA, 108 nt
Filed under: Hafnia paralvei
Lineage: Bacteria; Pseudomonadati; Pseudomonadota; Gammaproteobacteria; Enterobacterales; Hafniaceae
Source: RNAcentral